This 24-nucleotide non-coding RNA is filed under the name Cricetulus griseus (Chinese hamster). Lineage: Eukaryota; Metazoa; Chordata; Mammalia; Rodentia; Cricetidae. The record is from RNAcentral.
AAAGGGCUGUAACCACUAAAGGCU